This is a non-coding RNA of Taeniopygia guttata (zebra finch), 349 nucleotides long. The record is from RefSeq and is a predicted model, not a curated record. Lineage: Eukaryota; Metazoa; Chordata; Aves; Passeriformes; Estrildidae.
UCUCCCCAGGCUAUCUCCUGGGCUUAGCCUGGGUGUACCUGCUGGCAAUUAGCUCCUCAAGCCAAUCAGGCGCCGAGCACAGCCCUCGGUCCCCUUGACUGGGGUGAUUUAUAAAUGACUCACGGGCCCUUGGAGCGCAGACCUCUGCACAGCUCCUGGCAGCACCUCUCCUGCCCCAUCCGCACCCCGCGCCAUCGGCCGCUUCCCCGGGCGCAGGGGAUUUACGGCGGCAGAUUUACUCAGGAAUUAGCAACACCAACGAUCCAGCAGCUUGAUUUAUUAUGAAGAGAGAGGCUGCAAGAGCCAAAUAUGUGAAUUAAUUAUUGCUAGAAUAAAUCCUGCCAUCUUA